RNAcentral lists this ribosomal RNA (798 nucleotides) under uncultured Pseudomonadota bacterium. Its description in RNAcentral is "bacterial SSU rRNA". It matches the Rfam family "Bacterial small subunit ribosomal RNA", at positions 70 to 845 of the family's 1533-position model. Lineage: Bacteria; Pseudomonadati; Pseudomonadota. The record is from RNAcentral.
AAAGGGGGCAACCCCCGGUAGCGUGGCAGACGGGUGAGUAACACGUGGGUAACCUACCCGGAGGUGGGGGAUAACCCUUCGAAAGGAGGGCUAAUACCGCAUGACACCGCAGGGACCUCGGUCCUUGUGAUCAAAGCUGGCCUCUGUUUACAAGCUAGCGCCACCGGAUGGGCCCGCGCCCCAUUAGCUAGUUGGUGAGGUAACGGCUCACCAAGGCUACGAUGGGUAGCCGGCCUGAGAGGGCGAUCGGCCACACUGGAACUGCGACACGGUCCAGACUCCUACGGGAGGCAGCAGUGAGGAAUCUUGCGCAAUGGGCGAAAGCCUGACGCAGCGACGCCGCGUGGAGGAUGAAGGUCUUCGGAUUGUAAACUCCUGUCGAGUGGGACGAAUGCCGUGAGGGUGAACAAUCCUCGCGGUUGACGGUACCGCUGGAGGAAGCCCCGGCUAACUCCGUGCCAGCAGCCGCGGUAAUACGGAGGGGGCUAGCGUUGUUCGGAAUCAUUGGGCGUAAAGGGCGCGUAGGCGGCCGAUCAAGUCGGAGGUGAAAUCCCUCGGCUCAACUGAGGAAUUGCCUUCGAUACUGUUCGGCUUGAGUCCUGGAGAGGGUAGCGGAAUUCCCGGUGUAGCGGUGAAAUGCGUAGAGACCGGGAAGAACACCAGUGGCGAAGGCGGCUACCUGGACAGGUACUGACGCUGAAGCGCGAAAGCUAGGGGAGCAAACAGGAUUAGAUACCCUGGUAGUCCUAGCUGUAAACGAUGGGCACUUGGUUGUUGCGGGUAUCGACCCCUGCAGUG